Molecule: non-coding RNA, 1519 nt
Organism: Candidatus Jorgensenbacteria bacterium GWA1_54_12
Lineage: Bacteria; Candidatus Joergenseniibacteriota
Source: Rfam
UUAAUUGAGGAUUUGAUCCUGGUCCAGGAUGAACGCUGGCGGCGUGGAUAAGGCAUGCAAGUCGUACGAUCUUUCAUUUUUCGCAAGAAGGAUGAAAGGUAGUGGCGAACGGGUUAGUAACGCCUUGGUACGUACCUCCGAGAUGAGCAUAGCCAUCCGAAAGGGUGGGUAAUACUCAAUGGCCCCCGAGGACGCAAGUCUGAGGGGUAAAGAAGCAAUUCGCUUGGAGAGCGGCCUAGGUCCGAUCAGCUUGUUGGUGAGGUAAUGGCUCACCAAGGCGACGACCGGUAGGGGGAGUGAGAGCUCGAUCCCCAACAUUGGCACUGACACACUGGCCAAACACCUACGGGUGGCUGCAGUCGAGAAUAUUGGGCAAUGCGCGAAAGCGUGACCCAGCGACGCCGCGUGCAGGAUGAAGGCCUUCGGGUUGUAAACUGCUUUUCUGUUCGAAAAAGUACCGAUGGUAACGUCGGCAUUGAUACCAGAAUGGGAAUAAGGGGUGGCUAACUUCGUGCCAGCAGCAGCGGUAAUACGAAGACCCCGAGCGUUAUCCGAAUUUAUUGGGCGUAAAGCGCGCGUAGAGGGUCCGGCGCCGUCCUCUGUUAAAUCUCGCGGCUCAACCGCGGGGCUGCAGGGGAUACGGUCGGACUAGAGGACGUCAGAGGCCAGUGGAACGCACGGUGUAGGGGUGACAUCCGUUGAUAUCGUGCGGAACACCAAAGGCGAAGGCAUCUGGCUGGGGCGUUCCUGACCUUGAAGUGCGAAAGCGUGGGGAGAGAAUGGGAUUAGAUACCCCAGUAUUCCACGCCGUAAACGAUGUUCACUAGCUGUUUCGAGUAUCGACCCUCGGAGUGGCGAAGCUAACGCGUUAAGUGAACCGCCUGGGAAGUACGGCCGCAAGGCUAAAACUCAAAGGAAUAGACGGGGGCUCGCACAAGCGGUGGAGCAUGUGGUUCAAUUCGAUGGUAAACGAGAAACCUUACCAGGGCUUGACAUUCCGGCGACGGUUUCCCGAAAGGGAUUCCUUCCUGACGCAAGUCGGGACGGCGGAACAGGUGCUGCAUGGCUGCCGUCAGCUCGUGUUGUGAAACGUUCCCUUAAGUGGGGUAACGAGCGCAACCCUCGCUCUCUGUUACAAGUGUCAGAGAGGACUGCCAUCCUAUAGAUGGAGGAAGGUGGGGAUGACGUCAAGUCAGCAUGGCCCUUAUGUCCUGGGCUACACACAUGCUACAAUGGUCGGCACAAUGGGCCGCGAAGCCGUAAGGCGGAGCGAAUCCCACAAAGCCGACCCCAGUUCAGAUUGAGGGCUGCAACUUGCCCUCAUGAAGUCGGAAUCGCUAGUAAUCGCGGAUCAGCAUGCCGCGGUGAAUACGUUCUCGAGCCUUGUACUCACCGCCUGUCAAACCAAGGGAGCCGGGAGUACCUGAAGCUCCGUUGAGGGGCAAGGGUAAGUUCGGUAACACGGGUUAAGUCAUAACAAGGCACGGGUAGGGGAACCUGCUCGUGAACAAAUUACACU